GAGUUUGAUCAUGGCUCAGAUUGAACGCUGGCGGUAGGCUUAACACAUGCAAGUCGUGCGAGAAAGUAUCUUCGGAUAUGAGUAGAGCGGCGGACGGGUGAGUAACGCGUAGGAAUCUACCUAGUAGAAGGGGAUAGCCCGGGGAAACCCGGAUUAAUACCGUAUACCUCCUUCGGGAGAAAGAAGGCCUCUCUUUGAAGCUUUCGCUACUAGAUGAGCCUGCGUAAGAUUAGCUUGUUGGUGAGGUAAAGGCUCACCAAGGCGACGAUCUUUAGCUGGUCUGAGAGGACGAUCAGCCACAUUGGGACUGAGACACGGCCCAGACUCCUACGGGAGGCAGCAGUGGGGAAUAUUGGACAAUGGGCGCAAGCCUGAUCCAGCCAUACCGCGUGUGUGAAGAAGGCCUUCGGGUUGUAAAGCACUUUAAGCAGGGAGAAAAAGUUAUAAGUUAAUACCUUAUAACCCUGAUGUUACCUGCAGAAUAAGCACCGGCUAAUUCCGUGCCAGCAGCCGCGGUAAUACGGAAGGUGCAAGCGUUAACCGGAAUUACUGGGCGUAAAGCGCGCGUAGGUGGUUUGUUAAGUUGGAUGUGAAAGCCCUGGGCUCAACCUAGGAACUGCAUCCAGAACUAACUCACUAGAGUACGAUAGAGGGAGGUAGAAUUCAUAGUGUAGCGGUGGAAUGCGUAGAUAUUAUGAAGAAUACCAGUGGCGAAGGCGGCCUCCUGGAUCUGUACUGACACUGAGGUGCGAAAGCGUGGGUAGCGAACAGGAUUAGAUACCCUGGUAGUCCACGCCGUAAACGAUGACAACUAGCUGUUGGGAGACUAUGUCUUUCAUUGGCGCAGCUAACGCUUUAAGUUGUCCGCCUGGGGAGUACGGCCGCAAGGUUAAAACUCAAAUGAAUUGACGGGGACCCGCACAAGUAGUGGAGCAUGUGGUUUAAUUCGAAGAUACGCGCAGAACCUUACCAACACUUGACAUGUUCGUCGCGACUCUAAGAGAUUAGAGUUUUCGGUUCGGCCGGACGAAACACAGGUGCUGCAUGGCUGUUGUCAGCUCGUGUCGUGAGAUGUUGGGUUAAGUCCCGCAACGAGCGCAACCCUCACUUUUAGUUGCCAUCAUUAAGUUGGGCACUCUGAAAGAACUGCCAGUGAUAAGCUGGAGGAAGGUGGGGAUGACGUCAAGUCCUCAUGGCCCUUACGUGUUGGGCUACACACGUGCUACAAUGGCAUCUACAACAGGAAGCAAAACGGCAACGUUAAGCAAAUCCCGAAAAGAUGCCUCAGUUCGGAUUGCACUCUGCAACUCGAGUGCAUGAAGCUGGAAUUACUAGUAAUCGUGGAUCAGCGUGCCGCGGUGAAUACGUUCCCGGGCCUUGUACACACCGCCCGUCACACCAUGGGAGUUGGUUCUACCCGAAGCCGGUGCGCUAACCGCAAGGAAGCAGCCGACCACGGUAGGGUUAGCGACUGGGGUGAAGUCGUAACAAGGUAACC
Molecule: ribosomal RNA, 1498 nt
Filed under: uncultured marine bacterium
Lineage: Bacteria
Description: 16S ribosomal RNA
Rfam family: Bacterial small subunit ribosomal RNA
Source: RNAcentral